AGCUGUGCAAGGAAGGGCAUUUUCACUUGGAGUCAGUGACUCCCUGGCUUCUUGUUGCUUUUCCUUGGUGUUAGUUUUUCUUGCCCUUGGGGAGGGACCAGAGGUAGAAGAAAGCGCUGAAGGGGCAGCAAAAGUAGAUGUAGAACAGCGAAAGGGUGGAAAGAAGGCAGUUGUGGAACCAACCAUGAUGGGGGAGUGUUUUGAAAUCAAACCACUGUUCUAAGAAGAAAACUUAAGCUCAGCAGAUCUACACAGCAGUCAAGCUCAGAGGUCAUUU
This 277-nucleotide long non-coding RNA is filed under the name Cyanoderma ruficeps (rufous-capped babbler). Its description in RNAcentral is "lncRNA (ENSCRFG00000006137.1)". The record is from RNAcentral. Lineage: Eukaryota; Metazoa; Chordata; Aves; Passeriformes; Timaliidae.